Condylura cristata (star-nosed mole) is the source of this 278-nucleotide long non-coding RNA. RefSeq lists it as uncharacterized. The record is from RefSeq and is a predicted model, not a curated record. NCBI's taxonomy places the organism in Eukaryota, Metazoa, Chordata, Mammalia, Eulipotyphla, Talpidae. The transcript is spliced from 3 exons.
CCGGCCAUGGGGGGCCCGGGCCUGCAGGAGGCCAGAGCAGGAACUCGGCGGGAAAUGACUGGCAUGAGGGCACGGCCGGGCUCGGGGCGCCCGUGCUGGCGCCCUAGACAGUGACUCUGGGCCAUGCACUGGACCCACAGAGCUGAUGAGAAAUAAGAAAGAACAAGAGAAUAAGAAUAAGCAAGUUGCCCACCUUUACACAGCUGACGGACAGACUGUGUGGCAGGAACUGCUCCUGGGGCCCAGGCACACUCAUCCCUUCUUGGGUUCUCUGGAAC